GACGAACGCUGGCGGCGUGCUUAACACAUGCAAGUCGAGCGGUAAGGCCCUUUCGGGGGUACACGAGCGGCGAACGGGUGAGUAACACGUGGGUGACCUGCCCUCAGCUCUGGGAUAAGCCCGGGAAACUGGGUCUAAUACCGGAUAUGACUCCAUGACGCAUGUUGUGGGGUGGAAAGCCUUGUGCGGCUGAGGAUGGGCCCGCGGCCUAUCAGCUUGUUGGUGGGGUGAUGGCCACCAAGGCGACGACGGGUAGCCGGCCUGAGAGGGCGACCGGCCACACUGGGACUGAGAUACGGCCCAGACUCCUACGGGAGGGCAGCAGUGGGGAAUCUUGCGCAAUGGGCGAAAGCCUGACGCAGCGACGCCGCGUGAGGGAUGACGGCCU
RNAcentral lists this ribosomal RNA (388 nucleotides) under uncultured bacterium. Its description in RNAcentral is "bacterial SSU rRNA". It matches the Rfam family "Bacterial small subunit ribosomal RNA", at positions 28 to 417 of the family's 1533-position model. The record is from RNAcentral.